AACUGGACCAUCUUCUCAAUCAGCAGCUGGUCCUGGUCAGUCUGUCCAUCUUGAUCAAGGAUAUGCUGGACAGCUUUGGUGAAACCUUCUCGCAAGGCCCUGGUUCCACUCCGGGUAGUCGGACCGCGCCUAACUAUGGGAACCUCUACUUGGAUGGCCUCAUCACCGUGUUUGUCGAGCUAAUCGUGCUGCAAUUACUAUGUGAGAUAGAUCAUGUCAGACAGGAUCCAAUAGAUGGAAGUUUCAUAUAAACUUGAAAAUCGUAAAUGUGGAUGCGGUAUAUAGCAAUGUUCUAAUGAGACUCUUAACCAUUUGGUGGAGAGUUCUAUAUAAUCUCAAUUCUGUUUAUUUAUUUUCCAGAAGAAAAAAGCAUGACAGACAGCAAAUAACUGUAGUUGUACUUGUUGGUGAAUGAUAGCUGAAAUUUUUAAGUGUCUCCUGAGAGAGAUACUUAGCAUCUAACCAUGAGCGCCUCUGUUUGCCUGUCUUGGAUGGAUUUAUAAAUUCCCAUAAUUUUCCAAGAAACAUCAACCCAAACAUUUUGUUUUUAAAGCAACUUUAGUUACAUGAGAUGAAUUCAUCGUCAACGUCAGUAUCAUUGACUGAGUCUGCGUUUACGACACGACGACCUUGGUUGCUAUUGCUCUGCUCGCCGUUAACCGCUUUAGCUCUACCCUUGGCUUCUUUCUUAACCAUGUCUGAGUAUUCUUGUUGUGGUUUCAAUGUUAACAGAUUCUCUGAGUAUUUUAGAUGAUGGUUAAGGAUAUGAGGUAGCUAAACGGUGAAUGAAGGAGCAUGGACUGUUUUUGGUUUUAAUGGGAAUGGUUUUAUGAGUGAGUAAAUGCACCCAGCGUAUAUUUGUAACCGCAAGGGUUAACAAAAAGGUGCUGACUUGCGAGUAACGCAACAGAUGAAUAUCAUGAUUUAAAACUCAACUCUAUUUAAAGUGAAUGUACAUGAUCAUCAUUCUCUAUUGUAACAUGAAUAACAUGAAUUCUUUAGUUAUUAAUCAACUCCAGAUAACUACACAAUAAAAAUAUCAAAUAGUUUACAGAGUUUUUGAUUUUCAGAUUGAACUAAAAAAUCAAAAUAAAGAAGACGGAAACGUUGUUUGCUUUAUGAAACCAAAAAAAAUAACACUGAAAUGCAUAUAGAGAAACAAUCUAAAAUUAAUAACAAACAUUUAAAAAUGGUUGUUUAGAUGAACAUUAAAAAUUCAGUUAUGCCUCUUAUUCAUGAGAAGCACAUUUUAUUACAUAGAACAUUCACUGUUUUCUUAAGAAAUAUUAUGUAAAUAUAACAUUUAUUACAUAGAAUACUUCUUUUGUGCCAACCUUCCAAGCUGCUGAUGCGCGACCCUUCUUGGUGGCGACACCACUGGAAGAUGUUCCUCAAUAUGAUGAUUCCUCAUGAUCAUUGCCAUCAUCCUUAACCUUAGAGAGUACUGAACUGCCACCAGGCAUGUCAUCCCCAUUAUCAUCAUCAUUAUUUGAUGUUAGUCACGACAACAACUCCUGGAUCAUCUCCAAAGCCUUCCAGCUUAUUGUGAAACGCCACUGCUUGCGAGUCAAACAGAGUCAUAGUGACAGAUACAUCACUGCCAACAGAGAAACAAUAAUAUGAAAUAACCAUCGUAUAUUUACUCAGUUAUGAAAAUGAUGAAUAGCUUUAUACGAAGAGAUAUUAACUUAUCCAUCUUGAUCGCUGCCAUAACACGUUCUAUUCCCUGAGGAACGUCACUCACUAUACUCUUCACAGCAGCGAGUUCUCCAAUUAUUUCUGAGAGUUAAUGGAGCGCUCAAUUAUUUAUCGGUUUCAAUAAUGAAUUUGGGAUGAAUCAGAUAUUAAGCGGAUGUACCUGGAAGAUGUGUGCUUGUAUUGGCUAGGCCAUGAAGCGAAUCGUGAUUUCAGAACCUAAACCGUUGUUCAGGUAUUGGUGAGACUGAUAUGGUUAACUCAUCAAAAGUGGUUGAAUCACUGAACCGAAUUGAGAGUCGGUUAGGCUGAAGCUCUGAUUGCACUGUGUCACAUCGAACCCGCUUAAUGUGAACAGAGAAUAGGCCUCGAGACGGCGUCGGAAGGUGGCGAGACGGUUGAAUUUGGCAUCAUUGUCGACUGAAAAACGUCUAAAAUAAAUCAAAUAAACAAACGGGUUCAAGAUUUAUCUUUUUAAAUAGUUUGGAAAAUGAUCUUUUUACAGUUUUGAAGAUUUAUGAGUAUAAAAGCCAGAAAUAAUUAACAGAAAAUGAGUUCAUGAGUUUCAAGAACGGAGAACCUUAGCAUCGAUGAAGAUCAUGUCAACGACCAUCAUCUUGACACCGCAUCUAAAAUUUAUGGCUUCCCAGAAUAGAGCAAGAGCAACCUCACCUCGAUGGUGGAUGAACAACUGCCAGCCUUCAAAUCAGCAAGUAGAACAACGUAUUGCUUACCCAUUGUAAUGAGAAAUUAUCAUCGAAUGCUUUUGGAAUUGUGAGGAAGAUUCUCAAUGCAUGAGGACUAAUCUUUUUAUAGGUAGAGAUCUAAGAAGAUAAAGAGACAUUGACUGCAUAAUUGUGGUUGUAGUGGGUCGUGAGAGAAAAGCAAGAUUUAAUGAUGUUGAAUCAAUGCUGAAUCGCUGAACUUGUAACGACAACGGGUAACAAAACGAAACGCUGCUAAACUCCAUCGCAGCUUUUCAGAAAAUGAGAAACCCUAACGGGGAUACCAUUUACAAAGGGAAGGCGACUCACGUGUCAAUUUUGGGCCAAUAUUCAGAAAGUCUUCAGUCCAACAUAAUAUCCUGAAGUCCAGAGAAUAUACAUGAAUUUAAAAGCCCAUCUAAUAACAUAAAGUAGAAAGGGAUUCUCUUCUCAGCCUGCCAGGUCAUCAAAUAGGUGAAGGAGAGCUCAACACCUGUCCAAGUCUCACGUAAGUUUCGCUAUUCUUUCUUUAAAAUGGGCUUUUAAAUUCAUGUAUAUUCUCUGGACUUCAGGAUAUUAUGUUGGACUGAAGACUUUCUGAAUAUUGGCCCAAAAUUGACACGUGAGUCGCCUUCCCUUUGUAAAUGGUAUCCCCGUUAGGGUUUCUCAUUUUCUGAAAAGCUGCGAUGGAGUUUAGCAGCGUUUCGUUUUGUUACCCGUUGUCGUUACAAGUUCAGCGAUUCAGCAUUGAUUCAACAUCAUUAAAUCUUGCUUUUCUCUCACGACCCACUACAACCACAAUUAUGCAGUCAAUGUCUCUUUAUCUUCUUAGAUCUCUACCUAUAAAAAGAUUAGUCCUCAUGCAUUGAGAAUCUUCCUCACAAUUCCAAAAGCAUUCGAUGAUAAUUUCUCAUUACAAUGGGUAAGCAAUACGUUGUUCUACUUGCUGAUUUGAAGGCUGGCAGUUGUUCAUCCACCAUCGAGGUGAGGUUGCUCUUGCUCUAUUCUGGGAAGCCAUAAAUUUUAGAUGCGGUGUCAAGAUGAUGGUCGUUGACAUGAUCUUCAUCGAUGCUAAGGUUCUCCGUUCUUGAAACUCAUGAACUCAUUUUCUGUUAAUUAUUUCUGGCUUUUAUACUCAUAAAUCUUCAAAACUGUAAAAAGAUCAUUUUCCAAACUAUUUAAAAAGAUAAAUCUUGAACCCGUUUGUUUAUUUGAUUUAUUUUAGACGUUUUUCAGUCGACAAUGAUGCCAAAUUCAACCGUCUCGCCACCUUCCGACGCCGUCUCGAGGCCUAUUCUCUGUUCACAUUAAGCGGGUUCGAUGUGACACAGUGCAAUCAGAGCUUCAGCCUAACCGACUCUCAAUUCGGUUCAGUGAUUCAACCACUUUGAUGAGUUAACCAUAUCAGUCUCACCAAUACCUGAACAACGGUUUAGGUUCUGAAAUCACGAUUCGCUUCAUGGCCUAGCCAAUACAAGCACACAUCUUCCAGAAAUAAUUGGAGAACUCGCUGCUGUGAAGAGUAUAGUGAGUGACGUUCCUCAGGGAAUAGAACGUGUUAUGGCAGCGAUCAAGAUGGAUAAUGAUGUAUCUGUCACUAUGACUCUGUUUGACUCGCAAGCAGUGGCGUUUCACAAUAAGCUGGAAGGCUUUGGAGAUGAUCCAGGAGUUGUUGUCGUGACUAACAUCAAAUAAUGAUGAUGAUAAUGGGGAUGACAUGCCUGGUGGCAGUUCAGUACUCUCUAAGGUUAAGGAUGAUGGCAAUGAUCAUGAGGAAUCAUCAUAUUGAGGAACAUCUUCCAGUGGUGUCGCCACCAAGAAGGGUCGCGCAUCAGCAGCUUGGAAGGUUGGCACAAAAGAAGUAUUCUAUGUAAUAAAUGUUAUAUUUACAUAAUAUUUCUUAAGAAAACAGUGAAUGUUCUAUGUAAUAAAAUGUGCUUCUCAUGAAUAAGAGGCAUAACUGAAUUUUUAAUGUUCAUCUAAACAACCAUUUUUAAAUGUUUGUUAUUAAUUUUAGAUUGUUUCUCUAUAUGCAUUUCAGUGUUAUUUUUUUUGGUUUCAUAAAGCAAACAACGUUUCCGUCUUCUUUAUUUUGAUUUUUUAGUUCAAUCUGAAAAUCAAAAACUCUGUAAACUAUUUGAUAUUUUUAUUGUGUAGUUAUCUGGAGUUGAUUAAUAACUAAAGAAUUCAUGUUAUUCAUGUUACAAUAGAGAAUGAUGAUCAUGUACAUUCACUUUAAAUAGAGUUGAGUUUUAAACGUGAGACUUAGACAGGUGUUGAGCUCUCCUUCACCUAUUUGAUGACCUGGCAGGCUGAGAAGAGAAUCCCUUUCUACUUUAUGUUAUUAGAUUUUAAAAUAUAUAUAUAUAUACAUUUAUAUAAGAUAAAUUUAUAUUUUUUAAAAAUAAAAAUAAAUACCCGCACGGAUGGGCGGAUCAAGCGCUAGUCUUGAUUUUAUAGUAAUCACCCUAAGUCAAUUUACAGAGUCCAUGCCUGACGAUACUCUUUGCGUCAUGAUGAAAAUCUCAUAUAAAUAUUUUUUUGUCAUAAAUAUGUAUAAUUUUCUUUUUGGUGUAAAAAUAUUCAUUAACUCUUAAUCAAACCUUCAAAUUAAUUAAGAGCUUUCAGCAAAAUCUUGAUUUUAUGGUACACUUCUUUUUAAUGGGAGGGAAACCAGUUGGAAUUUAACGCUUAACUAGAUUUUGACCCCCGCUUAAAAUCGUAGAUUUUUUUUGUUGACCGUUUGAUAAAAUUUGAAUAGAUUUAUAAAUUUUUAUUAGAAAUAAGUAAUUUAAAAGUUUUUCUAUUAUAAUGUUCGAGUUUCAAACAGUAUUUUCAUAGUGUUUUCAUACAUAAUCUAGACUUGUGGUCGAACCGAUUGAUCAAGUGACAUGUAUAUAGUACAAAACAAAAUUUGGUAAAAAUACGGUAAAAAUCCAAAAAUCCCCUAUUCACAUGCGUCCGAUACCGGUUGAUCCGAUAUAACACAUAUUUUUUAAACAUUUGAUUAAAUUACUAAUAUAAUUUUUAAUGUUGCAUAAAUUGAAUAAGCUUGUGAUUCCUUAGAAUUUGAUGAAUUUUUUUUAUAUGUCAUUCAAAAAAUGAAAAAAUAGUAAUAGAAAGGAAAAACAAAAUCAAUUGAUAUGACAAUAUUAGUUUUUUAUUACUCACCUAUUAUAAGUUUAUAUUUUAUUUAUUUUAGAUUUGAAAAUUAAUUUUAUGAUAGUUUUAAGAUAUUUUUAGGAAAAUACUCUAAGAUAGCACUAAAAAGGUUUAUGUCACAAAUAUAGAUUCUAAGGAUCGAAAUGAUCAAAAUGUUUCAUUAAAGAGGUAAAUAUACAUUUAUACCCCUAAGGUUAACUAAUCCAAACAUUUGGGUUUAGAGUUAAGGGGUGGAGAUUUGGGAUUGAGAUUUAAAAUUUUAUAAAACAAAAAAUAAAUAUUAAAAAUUUUAAAAUAAAAAUUU
Long non-coding RNA from Brassica rapa (field mustard), 5865 nucleotides. RefSeq lists it as uncharacterized. The record is from RefSeq and is a predicted model, not a curated record. NCBI's taxonomy places the organism in Eukaryota, Viridiplantae, Streptophyta, Magnoliopsida, Brassicales, Brassicaceae.